Molecule: ribosomal RNA, 393 nt
Filed under: uncultured bacterium
Lineage: Bacteria
Description: partial 16S ribosomal RNA
Rfam family: Bacterial small subunit ribosomal RNA
Source: RNAcentral
AUACGGAGGAUCCGAGCGUUAUCCGGAUUUAUUGGGUUUAAAGGGAGCGUAGGCGGACUAUUAAGUCAGCUGUGAAAGCUUGCGGCUCAACCGUAAAAUUGCAGUUGAUACUGGUCGUCUUGAGUGCAGUAGAGGUAGGCGGAAUUCGUGGUGUAGCGGGGAAAUGCUUAGAUAUCACGAAGAACUCCGAUUGCGAAGGCAGCUUACUGGACUGUAACUGACGCUGAUGCUCGAAAGUGCGGGUAUCAAACAGGAUUAGAUACCCUGGUAGUCCACACAGUAAACGAUGAAUACUCGCUGUUUGCGAUAUACGGCAAGCGGCCAAGCGAAAGCAUUAAGUAUUCCACCUGGGGAGUACGCCGGCAACGGUGAAACUCAAAGGAAUUGACGGGG